AUUGAACGCUGGCGGCAUGCUUUACACAUGCGAGUCGAACGGUAACAGGCCUUCGGGUGCUGACGAGUGGCGAACGGGUGAGUAAUGCAUCGGAACGUACCCAGAGGUGGGGGAUAACGCAGCGAAAGCUGUGCUAAUACCGCAUGUGAUCUGAGGAUGAAAGCGGGGGACCGAGCAGCAAUGUUUGGCCUCGCGCCUUUGGAGCGGCCGAUGUCGGAUUAGCUAGUUGGCGGGGUAAAGGCCUACCAAGGCGACGAUCCGUAGCUGGUCUGAGAGGACGACCAGCCACACUGGGACUGAGACACGGCCCAGACUCCUACGGGAGGCAGCAGUGGGGAAUUUUGGACAAUGGGCGCAAGCCUGAUCCAGCAAUGCCGCGUGCGGGAAGAAGGCCUUCGGGUUGUAAACCGCUUUUGGCAGGAACGAAACGGUGUCCGCUAAUACCGGGCGCUAAUGACGGUACCUGCAGAAUAAGCACCGGCUAACUACGUG
This 492-nucleotide ribosomal RNA is filed under the name uncultured bacterium. RNAcentral describes it as "partial 16S ribosomal RNA". It matches the Rfam family "Bacterial small subunit ribosomal RNA", at positions 29 to 507 of the family's 1533-position model. The record is from RNAcentral.